CAGCUACUCCCUCCGUUCCAAAUUACUCGCCGUUGAAAUGGAUGUAUCUAGAACUAAAAUACAUCUAGAUACAUUCAUACGUGCGACAAGUAAUUCGGAACGGAGGUAGUACUUC
Molecule: non-coding RNA, 115 nt
Organism: Triticum aestivum (bread wheat)
Lineage: Eukaryota; Viridiplantae; Streptophyta; Magnoliopsida; Poales; Poaceae
Source: Rfam